UCCGAGUUGACCCCGGCAGUCUCCCGUGAGUCCCCACCACCCAAAAAGGGCGUGCUGGCAACACAGAACAAGGGUUGCGCUCGUUGCGGGACUUAACCCAACAUCUCACGACACGAGCUGACGACAGCCAUGCACCACCUGUACACCGGCUCAAAGAGGGACCCUGUCUCCAGGGUUUUCCGGCAUAUGUCAAGCCUUGGUAAGGUUCUUCGCGUUGCGUCGAAUUAAACCACAUGCUCCGCUGCUUGUGCGGGUCCCCGUCAAUUCCUUUGAGUUUUAGCCUUGCGGCCGUACUCCCCAGGCGGGGCACUUAAUGCGUUAGCGCCGGCACGGGGGGAGUCGACACCUCCCACACCUGGUGCCCAUCGUUUACAGCGUGGACUAC
RNAcentral lists this unclassified non-coding RNA (385 nucleotides) under uncultured Actinomycetes bacterium. Its description in RNAcentral is "uncultured actinobacterium contains 16S-23S intergenic spacer region". The record is from RNAcentral. Lineage: Bacteria; Bacillati; Actinomycetota; Actinomycetes.